CACGUAGGGGGGCGAGCGUUGCUCGGAAUCACUGGGCGUAAAGCGCACGUAGGCGGCUUUUUAAGUCAGGGGUGAAAUCCUGGAGCUCAACUCCAGAACUGCCUUUGAUACUGAGAAGCUUGAGUCCGGGAGAGGUGAGUGGAACUGCGAGUGUAGAGGUGAAAUUCGUAGAUAUUCGCAAGAACACCAGUGGCGAAGGCGGCUCACUGGCCCGGUACUGACGCUGAGGUGCGAAAGCGUGGGAGCAAACGG
RNAcentral lists this ribosomal RNA (252 nucleotides) under uncultured bacterium. RNAcentral's name for it is "partial 16S ribosomal RNA". It matches the Rfam family "Bacterial small subunit ribosomal RNA", at positions 524 to 775 of the family's 1533-position model. The record is from RNAcentral.